GCCAUAGGUCAGCGGUAGAGCAUCUGCUUUUAAAGCAGAAGGUCUCCAGUUCAAUCCUCAGGGAGGACU
Molecule: non-coding RNA, 69 nt
Organism: Podarcis lilfordi (Lilford's wall lizard)
Lineage: Eukaryota; Metazoa; Chordata; Lepidosauria; Squamata; Lacertidae
Source: the annotation of a GenBank genome assembly